CCUACGGGAGGCAGCAGUGGGGAAUAUUGCACAAUGGGGGAAACCCUGAUGCAGCGACGCCGCGUGAGCGAAGAAGUAUUUCGGUAUGUAAAGCUCUAUCAGCAGGGAAGAAAAUGACGGUACCUGAGUAAGAAGCUCCGGCUAAAUACGUGCCAGCAGCCGCGGUAAUACGUAGGGAGCAAGCGUUAUCCGGAUUUACGGGGUGUAAAGGGAGCGCAGGCGGCCUUGCAAGUCUGAUGUGAAAUACCGGGGCUCAACCCCGGAGCUGCAUUGGAAACUGUGAGGCUGGAGUGUCGGAGAGGCAGGCGGAAUUCGUAGUGUAGCGGUGAAAUGCGUAGAUAUUAGGAGGAACACCAGUGGCGAAGGCGGCCUGCUGGACGAUGACUGACGCUGAGGCACGAAAGCGUGGGUAUCGAACAGGAUUAGAUACCCCUGUAGUC
Molecule: ribosomal RNA, 440 nt
Filed under: uncultured bacterium
Lineage: Bacteria
Description: partial 16S ribosomal RNA
Rfam family: Bacterial small subunit ribosomal RNA
Source: RNAcentral